This 682-nucleotide ribosomal RNA is filed under the name uncultured bacterium. RNAcentral describes it as "bacterial SSU rRNA". It matches the Rfam family "Bacterial small subunit ribosomal RNA", at positions 138 to 807 of the family's 1533-position model. The record is from RNAcentral.
GGGGGAUAACACUUGGAAACAGGUGCUAAUACCGCAUAACCAUAGUUACCGCAUGGUAACUAUGUAAAAGGUGGCUAUGCUACCGCUUUUGGAUGGGCCCGCGACGCAUUAGCUAGUUGGUGGGGUAAAGGCUUACCAAGGCAAUGAUGCGUAGCCGAACUGAGAGGUUGAUCGGCCACAUUGGGACUGAGACACGGCCCAAACUCCUACGGGAGGCAGCAGUAGGGAAUCUUCCACAAUGGGCGAAAGCCUGAUGGAGCAACGCCGCGUGGGUGAAGAAGGUCUUCGGAUCGUAAAACCCUGUUGUUAGAGAAGAAAGUGCGUGAGAGUAACUGUUCACGUUUCGACGGUAUCUAUCCAGAAAGCCACGGCUAACUACGUGCCAGCAGCCGCGGUAAUACGUAGGUGGCAAGCGUUAUCCGGAUUUAUUGGGCGUAAAGAGAACGCAGGCGGUCUUUUAAGUCUGAUGUGAAAGCCUUCGGCUUAACCGGAGUAGUGCAUUGGAAACUGGGAGACUUGAGUGCAGAAGAGGAGAGUGGAACUCCAUGUGUAGCGGUGAAAUGCGUAGAUAUAUGGAAGAACACCAGUGGCGAAAGCGGCUCUCUGAUCUGUAACUGACGCUGAGGUUCGAAAGCGUGGGUAGCAAACAGGAUUAGAUACCCUGGUAGUCCACGCCGUAAAC